Non-coding RNA from Hirundo rustica (Barn swallow), 420 nucleotides. NCBI's taxonomy places the organism in Eukaryota, Metazoa, Chordata, Aves, Passeriformes, Hirundinidae. The record is from the annotation of a RefSeq genome assembly.
AUGCACCUCGCCUGUCUCAGCCUCACCGUCUUCCUGGGACAGCUCCUGGGCAUCACGGGGCAGGUCACAGUCACCCAGGAAGAUGGACCAGUCAUGGUGAAGCAGGGACACCCCUUCCAGACCACCUGCAAAUACCAGACCAGUUAUUUUAAUGCCUUGCUCUGGUACCAGCUGCAGAAAGGCCAAGCCCCACAGCUGGUCUCCUAUCAAGCAGGGCCUGGCUCCAAGCGCAAUGGCCGUAUCACCACGCACCUGAACACCACGGGGAAAUCCAGUGUCCUGCGGGUGGAGGAAGUGCAGGGCUCUGACACUGCCUUAUGUGUGCAGGGUGGAUCUGUUUUCGAUUCCGUGUCGGUGGUGUGCGGGAUGGGACACGGCUGUCUCUUGGCUCUGGCGAUGCCGGAAUUGUUGUGUCUCUGA